Molecule: long non-coding RNA, 311 nt
Filed under: Prunus persica (peach)
Lineage: Eukaryota; Viridiplantae; Streptophyta; Magnoliopsida; Rosales; Rosaceae
Description: long non-coding RNA (PPER_LNC002641)
Source: RNAcentral
GUGGAUUUCUCACACACACACAUACAAAUGAUGUCAUUGAGGUUCGAACCUGAGACCUCUUGUCUGCAAAUUAAGACCCUUUUUCAUUGGGCUAUACCCGUUGCCUUGUUAACUUAAAACUCUAACAACACGCCAAGUUUCCAAUACCAAUCUCAUUUUUCGAUUGGACUGAUUGGAACCGCCACCACUAUCACUUUCACUAUAAAUAAGUAGCCAAUAACUUCUAUUGUUCCUACACUUACUUAAUUCUAUUGCCGUUUGCCUUCCUUCUCUUCCAAGUAAUUUUAUCUCUCUCUUGCCCUACUAGCUUC